This 468-nucleotide ribosomal RNA is filed under the name uncultured bacterium. RNAcentral's name for it is "partial 16S ribosomal RNA". It matches the Rfam family "Bacterial small subunit ribosomal RNA", at positions 28 to 507 of the family's 1533-position model. The record is from RNAcentral.
GACGAACGCUGGCGGCGUGCUUAACACAUGCAAGUCGAACGGAAAGGCCCUGCUUUUGUGGGGUGCUCGAGUGGCGAACGGGUGAGUAACACGUGAGUAACCUGCCCUUGACUUUGGGAUAACUUCAGGAAACUGGGGCUAAUACCGGAUAGGAGCUCCUGCUGCAUGGUGGGGGUUGGAAAGUUUCGGCGGUUGGGGAUGGACUCGCGGCUUAUCAGUUUGUUGGUGGGGUAGUGGCUUACCAAGGCUUUGACGGGUAGCCGGCCUGAGAGGGUGACCGGCCACAUUGGGACUGAGAUACGGCCCAGACUCCUACGGGAGGCAGCAGUGGGGAAUAUUGCACAAUGGGCGGAAGCCUGAUGCAGCACCGCCGCGUGCGGGAUGACGGCCUUCGGGUUGUAAACCGCUUUCGCCUGUGACGAAGCGUGAGUGACGGUAAUGGGUAAAGAAGCACCGGCUAACUACGUG